GUAUGCUAACCAUUCUCCAUCCCUAAUCCUCCUCUCUGAUCAAUUUUGUCUACCAUGGAUGUAUCAUAUGGCGGAAUCAUUUUGACCGUCCUGGGUGAAUGCUUGCUGCCGACAUCAAAAUCGAAGAUCAACCCAUCACCCACACUUGAUCUUGCAGCAACGUCACCCUCAUCAUCUUAAGGUUAUCUUGUCGCUGAUCGUCAGCGUCAAUUCUCCAUCGAGGUCGUUGCCUGCUGCAUAUAUCCCCAUGUUUAUGUAUGAUGCUUGUGCUGGUUGCUAUCGAUGUUAUAGUGGAGCUACAUGAGGAGCAGAUCUUUGUAAAGUGGAACCACCAACAAGUGUUUGAAAGGCAAGUGUAACAAAGGCUUCCUUGUACCUAUGAACAUUGUUUAAUUCAUACAUAUGCAUGUGUCUAAAUUGAAAUGCC
This is a long non-coding RNA of Sorghum bicolor (sorghum), 427 nucleotides long. RefSeq lists it as uncharacterized. The record is from RefSeq and is a predicted model, not a curated record. NCBI's taxonomy places the organism in Eukaryota, Viridiplantae, Streptophyta, Magnoliopsida, Poales, Poaceae. The transcript has 3 exons.